RNAcentral lists this long non-coding RNA (1406 nucleotides) under Coffea arabica (coffee). RNAcentral describes it as "long non-coding RNA (CARA_LNC000738)". The record is from RNAcentral. Lineage: Eukaryota; Viridiplantae; Streptophyta; Magnoliopsida; Gentianales; Rubiaceae.
CGGAAGUAUCUGAAGGUGAGGUGCAGGUGGUGGUGACAUUCACGAUCAGUUUUGUAGAAUUUUGCAGAGGCAACUUCGUUCUUUUUUUGGUUUUCUAUUUCUUCAUUUUCCCUUCAUAUUGGAUAUCUAUAUAUCAAGCCACGCACACAUCCUUUUUUUUUUCAAACCAACAAAUGCCGCACCAUUAUCCAUUGUAAUCCACUCGAAAAAAAAAAGCCCAAAACCAAUUUAGAUAGUUCGGAUGUGUACAAAACCUAGAACAACAGGGGAGAGGAGUUGAGUCAUGAGUGGCGCUGGUGCCGGAUCCAGAGAAGUCGUCGAAGGUGGGGUUUGACUUUGAGGAACUUGCCGCAGCAUCCCAAGCCCAAGGGAGUCGCUCAUGGCUUCUUGCAUUUGGAGCUGGUAGGCGACGCCGUGGUCCUACUCAACGGUUUCCGCCGCCGCGAGUUCACGGCAUUGAUCGGUGACGGCGAGUAGUGUUGUGCGAUCGCCAUCAACUUCCGUAGUUGUUUUGGCGCCAAGAUUGAACUCUGUGACGUCAGGUAACCGCCGGAUUGUUUGGUAAAAUAAUUGCUACACAAAAGUUCGCCUUUAAUUGAGCCAGGGACUGAAUAAAAGUUCGCCUUUUACUUCAGCUUUUCACAGAUUUACAUCUUUUUUUUUUCUACCCCUUUUGGUUGGUAGUAACUGCUUUACUUCCACUCUUUACGUCUUUAUUAUUAGGCAUGUCAUUCUGGUCGGAAAAUUAUUGGUUUAAAUAGGGUCUAAUUUUAUAAAACUCGAAUCCAAACUCAAGCCAUUACCAUGGGAGCUGCUGAAGAAAACUUUUUCCUCCAUGCAAUAGAAUCGAUCGUGAGCCCUCCUGCUAAUUAUGGACAAAAUCUAGGCUAGUGAAACACCACAGGAGGUCGACCAAAAAAAAGCCGCAACAUCAAAAGAGGCAUUUGUGUGUGUUCCUAAAAAGAUCGAACUCUUUACUCUACUAUAUAUUGAUCUGUGCCAUAGAUAAUGAUCCCUUGAAAUGUACGAGCUAGCAAAUAUCGGAAGUCCAGUAAUAAGUUGUACAUCGGCCAUAAACAUUCUUCUAAACGCAGGUCUACCGCGCCUAAGUUAAUAUAUAAUCCUGUCCUCAUCCCAGAGUGGACAAUUACAAGUGGCUUUGUUUUCCUUCCACUCCGAUCCACAUGUAUAACAAAACUGAUGUCCGCAUCUACACAGACGACACAGAGAAAAGAUCAGAUUAAACAAGUGGGAACCAGCAUCAUCUUAGUGUCAACAUCUUAGUGUCAAAAAAAGAUUAGCAAGAAACAUCAGGAGGCUUGGAAUAAGUACUUACCUCGUUCUUGGUUUCACAGAAGCAAGGAAAUCAAGGACAAUUACUCAACUGUGGCCUUUGAGUUGGAAAG